UACGUAGGGGGCGAGCGUUGUCCGGAAUUACUGGGCGUAAAGGGCGCGUAGGCGGUUUGACAAGUCUGAUGUGAAAUCUAUGGGCUCAACCCAUAGUCUGCAUUGGAAACUGUCGGGCUUGAGUAUGGGAGAGGUGAGUGGAAUUUCCGGUGUAGCGGUGAAAUGCGUAGAUAUCGGAAGGAACACCUGAGGCGAAAGCGGCUCACUGGACCAUAACUGACGCUGAGGCGCGAAAGCUAGGGGAGCAAACAGG
Molecule: ribosomal RNA, 253 nt
Filed under: uncultured bacterium
Lineage: Bacteria
Description: partial 16S ribosomal RNA
Rfam family: Bacterial small subunit ribosomal RNA
Source: RNAcentral